Molecule: long non-coding RNA, 206 nt
Organism: Mauremys reevesii (Reeves's turtle)
Lineage: Eukaryota; Metazoa; Chordata; Testudines; Geoemydidae
Exons: 3
Source: RefSeq, a predicted model, not a curated record
GGAAACAGAAGCCUGAGAAGCAGUGGCAUUUUGGACUUUCAACUCUGUCCGUAUCUGGGAAAGGGGGCUGGAAACCCUCUGGUAAAACCAAAAACUGAAAAUACUAGAAACUUUUGAAAAAUGCAGGACCUGGAUAUUAUGAACACCCAAUCACUUGGUAACCCGAUAUUCUGUGAUCCUCCUCACCCACCACAACAAAGAACAGA